UACGUGAGGGGCGAACGUUGUUCGGUGUCACUGGGCUUAAAGGGCGCGUAGGCGGCCAUGCAAGUAAGGUGUGAAAGCCCUCGGCUUACCCGGGGAAGUGCGCCUUAGACUGCAUGGCUUGAGGACCAGAGGGGUAGGGGGAACUCCAGGUGUAGCGGUGAAAUGCGCAGAUAUCUGGGGGAAGGCCGGCGGCGAAGGCGCCCUACUGGCUGGUUUCUGACGCUGAGGCGCGAAAGCGUGGGGAGCAAACAGG
This 253-nucleotide ribosomal RNA is filed under the name uncultured bacterium. RNAcentral describes it as "partial 16S ribosomal RNA". It matches the Rfam family "Bacterial small subunit ribosomal RNA", at positions 524 to 776 of the family's 1533-position model. The record is from RNAcentral.